GAUGAACGCUAGCUACAGGCUUAACACAUGCAAGUCGAGGGGAAACGAUAUUGGAAGCUUGCUUCCGAUAGGCGUCGACCGGCGCACGGGUGAGUAACGCGUAUCCAACCUGCCCAUCACUUGGGGAUAACCUUGCGAAAGUAAGACUAAUACCCAAUGAUAUCUCUAGGAGACAUCUGAAAGGGAUUAAAGAUUUAUCGGUGAUGGAUGGGGAUGCGUCUGAUUAGCUUGUUGGCGGGGUAACGGCCCACCAAGGCGACGAUCAGUAGGGGUUCUGAGAGGAAGGUCCCCCACAUUGGAACUGCGACACGGUCCAAACUCCUACGGGAGGCAGCAGUGAGGAAUAUUGGUCAAUGGACGAGAGUCUGAACCAGCCAAGUAGCGUGCAGGAUGACGGCCCUAUGGGUUGUAAACUGCUUUUAUAAGGGAAUAAAGUGAGCCUCGUGAGGCUUUUUGCAUGUACCUUAUGAAUAAGGACCGGCUAAUUCCGUGCCAGCCGCCGCCGUAA
Molecule: ribosomal RNA, 508 nt
Filed under: uncultured bacterium
Lineage: Bacteria
Description: partial 16S ribosomal RNA
Rfam family: Bacterial small subunit ribosomal RNA
Source: RNAcentral